UUGUAAGCUGUUUUUUUUUUUUUAAAUAUAGUAUUCCAUCUAUCAUCCAGGAAGAAUAUAACGAAGCAUAAUGAAAUUAAACUCAACUCAAUUUUUUUUGUAAACCAAGAUUAAAGGAGUGGUUUUCACUGUAGUAAAACCACAGCUGUCAAUGUAUUUGGGUCGCACCUCUUAUGCACUCUUAUUAAUGUAAGUAAGUUUCGUGUUGAUAAUGACUUGCAUUUUCCUGUUAGUAAGAAAACACAGCUGGCAGUCUGUUAUUGCCACAUCUUUGUCCACAGCAGUUCUAGUGAGCAUCAGCUUUCUGUUCGUUUCUUUUGUCAGCCAUGGACAAAACUGUGCUGCUCCUGUUGUGCCUGCAGGUUGUUCUGCUCAUCACUGCCUUUCCUUCAGACGCAGCUGGUCAAGUCGUAGUGAGAGGUCCAGAUCAGGUAAAAAGAUCCGCAACAGCAAUCAAAAAGGUGGCAAACAGGACGGUCAACCCACCAAAGCAAAAACUACAGAAGAGAAGGUGUUCCAGUAAACCUGGAGGGUGUGGCCCAAGGGGCCAGUAGUUUACCCAUCACACAUCGCUGCGGCCAGAAACUCCUUCCUGCAUUUUUCCAUUGACCUGGGUGCUUCAAUAAUCUACGCAUAUAAACUAUCACAACAACAGAUUCUCUGCAAACAUGUUGCAACAUUGCAGUUGGUGCAGAAGUCACCUCGCAUACAGACAGAUGCUAAAUUUGAACCAGCUCACUGGACUUCUCUGAGAAGUCAGAAAUUAAACACAAACAACAUUCAACCACUAAAACUAAUUUUGGAAGUAAAUAUAAGGCGGAGUAUUAGGGCCACAUUAAGAAAAUAAAAUAUUUUGAUCAAUUUGAGAAUAAAGUCAAAAUUUCACGAUUAAAAUGGAAAAUCUAUUUUGAGAAAAGCAUCAAAAUGUGGAGAUUACUUUUGUUGUUUCAAGACAAACUGCCACGUUUCUUAUACCUUUGUGUAGAUGAGUUAGCCAUUUCACAUUACACGAAUGCAACCAUCUGCACCAUCUUUUCAACAUCCUUUUACAUAUCACCAUAAUAUGUUUGUGUGCUAAAAAAGAAAUCAUUUCCUUCUUUGUUACUUAAGUCGAUUCUGAAGUACGAUUUCACUCAGAGGGUACAGCAACCAUGGCUGAUUGUCUUGAAACAAAAUAGAAUUAUAAUAUUAUUCUCAAAAUGAUGAAUGAUAUUGUUUUUUUAAUGCGGCCCUAAUACUACGUCGUAUAAAUAACCUUUGCAUCUUAAUUUAAAAAAAAAAAAAUCCUAAAGCACUUAACUGUUUUAAGAUAUAUUUUUUUGUAAAACUAUGAAUUUGAAAAAUCAUAGAUAACAACAAUAAUUAUUUUGAUAUUAAAUAAAUAAUUGCAUGUUGGAGGAUUAACCACAGGAACAUAAAAAGUGUUUUUGGUAAUUACCAGUAUUGUGUAUUUAGGGCAGCUGUGAGUACCUUGUGUGGAACCUUGUACUGGAUAGUAAUAAUAAUUUUGUUAAGUACUGCAUGUGCUGAGUAUAAACUGGACUAAUAAAAUAUUUAAAGCACUGCACAUUUGCGUGAAUUAGACUGA
Long non-coding RNA from Astatotilapia calliptera (eastern happy), 1588 nucleotides. The record is from Ensembl. NCBI's taxonomy places the organism in Eukaryota, Metazoa, Chordata, Actinopteri, Cichliformes, Cichlidae.